This 400-nucleotide ribosomal RNA is filed under the name uncultured bacterium. RNAcentral's name for it is "bacterial SSU rRNA". It matches the Rfam family "Bacterial small subunit ribosomal RNA", at positions 356 to 773 of the family's 1533-position model. The record is from RNAcentral.
GGGGAAUAUUGGACAAUGGGCGAAAGCCUGAUCCAGCAAUGCCGCGUGAGUGAUGAAGGCCUUAGGGUUGUAAAGCUCUUUUACCAGGGAUGAUAAUGACAGUACCUGGAGAAUAAGCUCCGGCUAACCCCGUGCCAGCAGCCGCGGUAAUACGGAGGGAGCUAGCGUUGUUCGGAAUUACUGGGCGUAAAGCGCACGUAGGCGGCUACUCAAGUCAGAGGUGAAAGCCCGGGGCUCAACCCCGGAACUGCCUUUGAAACUAGGUAGCUAGAAUCUUGGAGAGGUCAGUGGAAUUCCGAGUGUAGAGGUGAAAUUCGUAGAUAUUCGGAAGAACACCAGUGGCGAAGGCGACUGACUGGACAAGUAGUGACGCUGAGGGGCGAAAGCGUGGGGAGCAAAC